CAAGAGUCGAGCGCAGUAAACAAACUCUCAGCAACAACCCAAUUGUUGUCAAUGAACUUAUAAAGGCUACUGGACGUCCUAUAAGUAAAAAAAUUUAAAAUCGAUCACCCGAUAAGCAAAGUUAGGAUUGCUCGAGUAUGGUAAUGGAUGAAAGAGAAAAGUCGUGUUAAUUCAUAUGUGAGCAAAAAAGAAGUGGACUGACAUGUUUUUAACGAAACGUAAGAA
Molecule: non-coding RNA, 225 nt
Organism: Schizosaccharomyces pombe (fission yeast)
Lineage: Eukaryota; Fungi; Ascomycota; Schizosaccharomycetes; Schizosaccharomycetales; Schizosaccharomycetaceae
Source: the annotation of a GenBank genome assembly